UCGAACGGUAACGGGAAGGAAGCUUGCUUUCUUUGCCGACGAGUGGCGGACGGGUGAGUAAUGCUUGGGAAUCUGGCUUAUGGAGGGGGAUAACUACGGGAAACUGUAGCUAAUACCGCGUAAUAUCUUAGGAUUAAAGGGUGGGACUUUCGGGCCACCUGCCAUAAGAUGAGCCCAAGUGGGAUUAGGUAGUUGGUUAGGUAAAGGCUGACCAAGCCGACGAUCUCUAGCUGGUCUGAGAGGAUGACCAGCCACACUGGAACUGAGACACGGUCCAGACUCCUACGGGAGGCAGCAGUGGGGAAUAUUGCACAAUGGGGGGAACCCUGAUGCAGCCAUGCCGCGUGAAUGAAGAAGGCCUUCGGGUUGUAAAGUUCUUUCGGUAGCGAGGAAGGUAUCAAAUUUAAUAGAUUUGGUAAUUGACGUUAACUACAGAA
This 437-nucleotide ribosomal RNA is filed under the name Actinobacillus lignieresii. Its description in RNAcentral is "bacterial SSU rRNA". It matches the Rfam family "Bacterial small subunit ribosomal RNA", at positions 62 to 486 of the family's 1533-position model. The record is from RNAcentral. Lineage: Bacteria; Pseudomonadati; Pseudomonadota; Gammaproteobacteria; Pasteurellales; Pasteurellaceae.